This 485-nucleotide ribosomal RNA is filed under the name uncultured Planctomyces sp. RNAcentral's name for it is "bacterial SSU rRNA". It matches the Rfam family "Bacterial small subunit ribosomal RNA", at positions 29 to 505 of the family's 1533-position model. The record is from RNAcentral. Lineage: Bacteria; Pseudomonadati; Planctomycetota; Planctomycetia; Planctomycetales; Planctomycetaceae.
AAUGAACGUUGGCGGCGUGGAUUAGGCAUGCAAGUCGAGCGAGAAGCAACCCUUCGGGGGAGUGGACAGCGGCGAACGGCGUAGUAAUAGAUAGGUAACGUGCCCCAAGGUCUGGGAUAGCUGCGGGAAACUGCAGGUAAUACCGGAUAAUCUCCUAGAGUCUAGUGGCUUUAGGAGCAAAGGUGAGAUUCCGUCUUGGGAGCGGCUUAUUGAGUAUUAGCUUGUUGGUGGGGUAACGGCCCACCAAGGCUGCGAUGCUUAGGGGGUGUUAGCGCAUGGCCCCCACGACUGGGACUGAGAUACUGCCCAGACACCUACGGGUGGCUGCAGUCGAGAAUCUUCGGCAAUGGACGAAAGUCUGACCGAGCGACGCCGCGUGCGGGAUGAAGGCCCUUGGGUUGUAAACCGCUGUCAGAGGGGAUGAAAUUCUAGAAGGCAAUCCUUCUAGAUUGACAGAGCCUCAGAGGAAGCACGGGCUAAGUACG